Molecule: long non-coding RNA, 696 nt
Filed under: Monodelphis domestica (gray short-tailed opossum)
Lineage: Eukaryota; Metazoa; Chordata; Mammalia; Didelphimorphia; Didelphidae
Description: lncRNA (ENSMODG00000051382.1)
Source: RNAcentral
CCCACUCCCAUAAUAUCCAUUAAUCAGUUCCUGACUAAUUGAGUGGUUUUGUUUUACGAACUGGAUGAAGUCUAUUAAUAUCAAUAUGGUUUUGGUUUCUGUAAUAUCCCAACAGAGAAAUGCAUGUGGCAUGUCUACAGGGUUCAGUGUGAGAACUGAAGAAUAGUGAAGAGUGAAUAAUGUGUGAUGUGCCAAGUCCUUGACAAGAAUGAUCUCAUUUGCUCUUCACAAUCACUCUGGGAGGACCAGGGACAAGUGAAAUGGAUCCAGGCACAGAUGGCUGAGUGACUGGUGAGUUCUCAGCCUGCUGCCCCAUCACCAACAUCCAGCCCCUUUUUAACAAUGAGCUAGAUGGAGCAGAAAAUAAUAUUAGCCUUCAAGAACAGCAUGUCCACAUUCCUGGUCCCAUAAAACUAAUCAAUGGAAAACAAUUUUCCUGAGCUGAGGCUGAGCUCAUUUUAUGACAAUAACUAGUGAAGCUAAGGGGAAGAAGAGUGCCCUUUUAGUUCUUUUCCUUUGGUGAAUAACUUCUCUACAAACACCUGGUGAAUCCACAGCUGUGGGAACCUGGAUAUAAAGAACAUGAGGGAAACAAGGGUGAGAUCCAUUCUUCUUCUGAACCCUCCCUCAACAGGGUUAAGGUAAGUUAAUCCUUAAGUGAUCAUCUUUGAUGGCAUGUUUUAAAACACAUCAUUU